This 430-nucleotide ribosomal RNA is filed under the name uncultured delta proteobacterium. Its description in RNAcentral is "bacterial SSU rRNA". It matches the Rfam family "Bacterial small subunit ribosomal RNA", at positions 355 to 776 of the family's 1533-position model. Lineage: Bacteria; Deltaproteobacteria. The record is from RNAcentral.
UCGGGAAUCUUGGGCAAUGGGCGAAAGCCUGACCCAGCAACGCCGCGUGAGGGAUGAAGGCCUUCGGGUCGUAAACCUCUGUCGGGAGGGACGAAAGGUCGCCGGAAUAACAAGCCGGAGGCUUGACGGUACCUCUAAAGGAAGCGCCGGCUAACUCCGUGCCAGCAGCCGCGGUAAUACGGAGGGCGCAAGCGUUGUUCGGAAUUACUGGGCGUAAAGCGCGUGUAGGCGGCCAGGUAAGUCGGGUGUGAAAGCCCGGGGCCCAACCCCGGAACUGCACCCGAUACUGCCCGGCUAGAGUCCCGGAGAGGAUGGCGGAAUUUCCGGUGUAGAGGUGAAAUUCGUAGAUAUCGGAAGGAACACCAGUGGCGAAGGCGGCCAUCUGGACGGUGACUGACGCUGAGACGCGAAAGCGUGGGGAGCAAACAGG